AAAACUUUCAACAACGGAUCUCUUGGUUCUGGCAUCGAUGAAGAACGCAGCGAAAUGCGAUAAGUAAUGUGAAUUGCAGAAUCCAGUGAAUCAUCGAAUCUUUGAACGCACAUUGCACCUUCUGGUAUUCUGGGAGGUAUGCCUGUUCGAGCGUCAUU
This 158-nucleotide ribosomal RNA is filed under the name uncultured fungus. Its description in RNAcentral is "5.8S ribosomal RNA". It matches the Rfam family "5.8S ribosomal RNA". Rfam says of the family: 5.8S ribosomal RNA (5.8S rRNA) is a component of the large subunit of the eukaryotic ribosome. It is transcribed by RNA polymerase I as part of the 45S precursor that also contains 18S and 28S rRNA. The record is from RNAcentral. Lineage: Eukaryota; Fungi.